RNAcentral lists this ribosomal RNA (253 nucleotides) under uncultured bacterium. RNAcentral's name for it is "partial 16S ribosomal RNA". It matches the Rfam family "Bacterial small subunit ribosomal RNA", at positions 524 to 776 of the family's 1533-position model. The record is from RNAcentral.
UACAGAGGGGGCAAGCGUUGUUCGGAAUUACUGGGCGUAAAGGGCGCGUAGGCGGCCUUCUAAGUCGAACGUGAAAUCCCCGGGCUCAACCCCGGAACUGCAUCCGAUACUGCGUGGCUAGAGGUAGGUAGGGGAGAUCGGAAUUCCUGGUGUAGCGGCGAAAUGCGCAGAUAUCAGGAGGAACACCGGUGGCGAAGGCGGAUCUCUGGGCCUUACCUGACGCUCAGGCACGAAAGCUAGGGGAGCGAACAGG